Molecule: non-coding RNA, 160 nt
Organism: Bacillus sp. SA1-12
Lineage: Bacteria; Bacillati; Bacillota; Bacilli; Caryophanales; Bacillaceae
Source: Rfam
CUGAAGGAUUAUAUUGAAGAGUCAAAUGAUAGAGUAACGCCUUGAAGGGCUCUCUCUGCGUCGAAUAGCACUUGAUUUAGUAAGAAUGAAAGUGUUAUAAGCUCGGCAUAUAAAUGUCAACCUAAGUAUGUACACUUUUGAUCGUUUAAGUAUGUACAAA